UCAAACUUGGUCAUUUAGAGGAAGUAAAAGUCGUAACAAGGUUUCCGUAGGUGAACCUGCGGAAGGAUCAUUAAUAAAAUAAACUUGGUUAGAUUGUCUGCUGGCUUCGAGAAGCAUGUGCACAUCUAAUCCAUUUAUAAUUCCCCUGUGCAUGCUGCGUAGACCUUGUAAUAUCAUUCGAGUUUGGUAACGGACUCGGCUUAGAAAUUGCUGUAUUUUAUUAUUUUAAAACAGCUUUUUCUUGUGUUUUCAGGUCUAUGUCUAUAUAAUACCCCUUUUUGUUGAAUUGUGUGCAUCUUGGAAAAAAAAUCGAGUAAUACAAUACAACUUUCAACAACGGAUCUCUUGGCUCUCGCAUCGAUGAAGAACGCAGC
This 374-nucleotide unclassified non-coding RNA is filed under the name uncultured fungus. RNAcentral describes it as "partial contains small subunit ribosomal RNA, internal transcribed spacer 1, and 5.8S ribosomal RNA". The stretch from base 1 to 73 matches the Rfam family "Eukaryotic small subunit ribosomal RNA", at positions 1759 to 1831 of the family's 1831-position model. Lineage: Eukaryota; Fungi. The record is from RNAcentral.